UUAUUCACAAUGUAAAAGAUGUUUUUUUUUCUUCAUUUCUUCUAUAUUGUAAUGUACAUUUGAGUGUAAUGAAUUAUCAAAAAAUAAUGCUGAUUGCCUGAUUGGAUGCUGAGAUGUGGGCGUGGCACUCUCAAUGAAGGCGGGGCUACAUGCAGUGGGUUGUAAGAAAGGGGUGGGGUUUGAGAGGAUUAAAAUUAUUAUAGAAGUCUUGUAUGUGUCACCAGAGAAAAAUCAUUUCACCAGAUGAUCCAGUUAUGACAUUCUGAUUAAAUUAUGAGGUAAAAAAAAAAAAAUAUGCAUUUAGAAAAUUUAAUUUAAUGCCAACUUUAAGAUGGUAUAUUAAAAUACAACCAACCUAAUUAUUCAGUGUUUCCUCAAACCUGAUUAGUCACUUGUUCAUACAACCCAGCAACCAGUCCAUUUUUCGAAUACAUAGCUGCAGUUUGCUACUGUACAUUAAGUCCAGUUUGAUUCCUUGCACUCAGAUGUACAGUAGCAGGAAUUCAGCCAAUCACAUCUCAGCUCUGCGGAAUAAUGAAUAAAUCAGCACUCAGAGCCUGAGGAGGGUGAGGCGGCAGGGGGCGAGUCAUGUGACGUUCAGCUCAGAACAAACCAAUGAAAACACUUUACACAGCGACACGGUUUUAGAGAUCCUGCAUCAGUUCCCGCUCGCUCCUGUCUGUCUGUGUCUGUCCCUCAUUCACUGCCAAAUCUCUGUCUGUCUGUCUCUCUCAUCUGAAGGUGUUUAUCUACUCGUAUGACGACAUAUCAUAGACUUGUAUUGGCUUUAUAUAAAGUUAAUUAAGUAGAUUACAACCCAAACCAAACCAAACACCUAAAAAAAAUAAGGUUAUCCUGUAUUUAACGUGUCAAAACAGCCUGCUAUUUUGUUGUAUUUUGUUUUUACAUUCUUAAUUUAAUUUACUGCUAUUUUAAUGCUAAAUGGAAACAGCAAGGAUCUUUCAAAAGUGGUUCAGAUGGAUCAAAUCCAAACACACUGUGACAUUCUGGCCAAUUAGAGAGAGAGAGAGAGAGAGAGAGGUUAAACUAGCUCAAGGGUUUAGUUGAACUCCACUGAGCAGUAAACACACGUUCACAUGCUGCUCAGUGACUCAUGGUUCCUUUUUUCUAUGUGUUUUCUCUUUAAUAAUCAUGUGCAGAAACACACAGAUAUUCCCACGAUGCAGGUGUGAAAUGAACGAGUAUUAACUUCUGCCGCUCUCCACUCCUUCACUCUCCAAAGACAUUUCAGCAAACGUUAGCAAUGCCUCUGUCUUCUGAUUGAGUCACGUGCCCCAAAAUAAACUUCAAUUAUUACAACUGAGAAAUAAUUAUGGUUUGGCAGUCUGAUGCCAUAAGAGAAAUGUUCAUUUUAAUUUUUAGCUUUGGUAAAAA
This is a long non-coding RNA of Cyprinus carpio carpio, 1395 nucleotides long. The record is from Ensembl. NCBI's taxonomy places the organism in Eukaryota, Metazoa, Chordata, Actinopteri, Cypriniformes, Cyprinidae.